UUAUGCUAUUUAAUUCUCGCUCAGACGGCACCUAUUAACAGAGUUUCGGUUGGCUCCCGGCGGAUGCGAGGUUGGUCGCCCGCCAAAGCAACGAUGAUAUCGUGGGCAACGGGUGGAGAUUCCGGGGGCCGGAGCCCCCGAAGUCGCAUUAAUGAUCCUUCCGCAGGUUCACCUACGGAAA
This 181-nucleotide unclassified non-coding RNA is filed under the name uncultured fungus. RNAcentral describes it as "sequence contains ITS1". Lineage: Eukaryota; Fungi. The record is from RNAcentral.